RNAcentral lists this ribosomal RNA (1041 nucleotides) under Amphisphaeria uniseptata. Its description in RNAcentral is "SSU rRNA". It matches the Rfam family "Eukaryotic small subunit ribosomal RNA", at positions 73 to 1110 of the family's 1831-position model. Lineage: Eukaryota; Fungi; Ascomycota; Sordariomycetes; Amphisphaeriales; Amphisphaeriaceae. The record is from RNAcentral.
AUUAUACAGCGAAACUGUCGAAUGGCUCAUUAAAUCAGUUAUCGUUUAUUUGAUAGUACCUUACUACUUGGAUAACCGUGGUAAUUCUAGAGCUAAUACAUGCUAAAAACCCCGACUCGCGGAGGGGUGUAUUUAUUAGAUUAAAAACCAAUGCCCUUCGGGGCUCCUUGGUGAUUCAUAAUAACUUCUCGAAUCGCAUGGCCUUGCGCCGGCGAUGGUUCAUUCAAAUUUCUGCCCUAUCAACUUUCGAUGGCAGGGUCUUGGCCUGCCAUGGUUACAACGGGUAACGGAGGGUUAGGGCUCGACCCCGGAGAAGGAGCCUGAGAAACGGCUACUACAUCCAAGGAAGGCAGCAGGCGCGCAAAUUACCCAAUCCCGAUUCGGGGAGGUAGUGACAAUAAAUACUGAUACAGGGCUCUUUAGGGUCUUGUAAUUGGAAUGAGUACAAUUUAAAUCCCUUAACGAGGAACAAUUGGAGGGCAAGUCUGGUGAACAGAGUGCUGGCGCCAGAGAGAGUUAAUUCCAGCUCCAAUAGCGUAUAUUAAAGUUGUUGCAGUUAAAAAGCUCGUAGUUGAACCUUGGGCCUGGCUGGCCGGUCCGCCUCACCGCGUGCACUGGUUCGGCCGGGCCUUUCCCUCUGGGGAACCUCAUGCUCUUCACUGAGUGUGCUGGGGAACCAGGACUUUUACUGUGAAAAAAUUAGAGUGUUCAAAGCAGGCCUAUGCUCGAAUACAUUAGCAUGGAAUAAUAGAAUAGGACGUGUGGUUCUAUUUUGUUGGUUUCUAGGACCGCCGUAAUGAUUAAUAGGGACAGUCGGGGGCAUCAGUAUUCAAUUGUCAGAGGUGAAAUUCUUGGAUUUAUUGAAGACUAACUACUGCGAAAGCAUUUGCCAAGGAUGUUUUCAUUAAUCAGGAACGAAAGUUAGGGGAUAGAAGACGAUCAGAUACCGUCGUAGUCUUAACCAUAAACUAUGCCAACUAAGGAUCGGACGAUGUUAUUUUUUGACUCGUUCGGCACUUUACGAGAAAUCAAAGUCUUUGG